ACUUGUCAGCUCUGCAACAAGAAAGGGCACUUUGCCACUGUUUGUAGAAGCUCUUCUAAAUCUACAAAUUCUGUGGUAGUAGGUACUGAAGAUC
This 94-nucleotide microRNA precursor is filed under the name Bombyx mori (domestic silkworm). Its description in RNAcentral is "microRNA bmo-mir-2814 precursor (bmo-mir-2814-2)". It matches the Rfam family "mir-2814 microRNA precursor family". Lineage: Eukaryota; Metazoa; Arthropoda; Insecta; Lepidoptera; Bombycidae. The record is from miRBase by way of RNAcentral.